CCGGGCGGUUGGCGUUUCUUUGCCGGUUAGAUCUUUCCAGCUCAGUAGCUACAUUCGGGUGCAAACUUUCCACGCUUCUCACUACAAAGUAUUUGGUUUAACAGGCUUUCAUGGGUGCAGUAAAAUGCCAACACGUCACUGAGCAUGCAUGACACUGACACAGCUCCUUCAAAAAGAUGAAAAAUCACAGCUUCCAUGUGGGUUUUAUACUAUCAACAUAAUAUCCAAGCACCUUCCCACAUAAAAUCAAUAGAAGCAGCAAAGUCCCUUGUGGAUUUAAUGGAGUUUCUGGCACUUCUCCCUUUUGGGAAUAAAAACACUACUUGAGGUACGCACCUUUUGAGGAGUCCACAUUCUGCGUUGGCUGCCAGUUCACUUCCUGGUGAAAUGCCUGGUACUGGUUGUUAUGUCUCCCAAAAGCCAAAAAUGCCUUUUAAUUAACAACAGUGACUCUAAUGGGAUCAGAAUUACAAUAAGAAGGAAAAUAAAGUAACAACAAGAAUGGAUCAAGUUGGCACAAUGAGAGAAUCCUUAUUUCCAAGUGUCAUGCAGCACCACUUCUCUCUUGGGUUCAGUCUCCAGCCUUAGUUUUGCAGUCUACAGCCUAGAAAGUUUUCAAAAAUGCUCAACAACUCAGCUCCCAGUGACAGGGCUGCCACCUCUCCCUUUUUGUUUGAGUGGCUGUCCCAGGACUUCUUUAAGUGUAAUCAGAACACACCGCCAGUUGUCCAGUUUUAUGGGCUCAGGAUCAUCCCAGAUGUCUCUCUUUUGUAUCUCAGAGGGGGCCAUUGUACUCAAUAAAGUCAAUAGGAGUUCUGACUUCAGUAGAAGCAGUUAAGUCAAUUCUGAACACUUUCGAAAGUCCCACCGCAAAGGUGCAGUAACCACACUUCGUUUAUGUCUACACUGCAAUUGGGAAGUGUGAUUGCAGCACAUGUAUACAUAUCCUAGCUCUAGUAACAAUAGCAGUGAAGCUAUGGCAGCGUGGGCAAUCCUGCCUGCUUCGGACCUAGGGUACAUACUUGAGCACUAUGCAGUUUAUACUGCUAUAAAGAUGAACUCUCUGCUCAAUCUCUGCAUUUGCAUUUGGGAGGAACCUUUCAGCUAUCUGUCCUAAAAGUGGAGCCUGUGGAGGGUUAGAGCUCUGAGUCCUCCAGUUCCUACAGAGGACUAUAAUAUGUUGGUUAGGAUGCUUCAGGGUUACCUUCCUGAGAACUCUUGCACCUGUUGUAAAUGCAUGAGUCUCUUUAUGCUACUUGUUCCUUCCUCCACCACAAUAUUACAGGAGCCAGGGGCAAGGUAUGGUCAGGACCCUCGAGAUUUUGCUGUACCUGGAAGUAUACCUGAGCUCAAGCCUGGCUGCUUUUAGAUCAUUCUUUAAGCACCUUUUUUGUUAGCCUUUCUCCUCACCAUAGGUUUCUGGAAAACCUCUGGCAUUUAGUCUCUUGGCAGGUAUUCCCUUUCAGCUGAUCCUUUCGGGAUAGCUGGUAUAUGCUCCCUGUUUUGAGGAAUGUAUUUUGAAUUCCUGAUUUAAAGUAUGUAAAGUGUACCCAGACGUUGUAAUAAGAGUAAUAAAACUAUAAGGUCACCACGAUUUAGCACUUGGAUAUUGAAUUGUUCAGAUUGCACUCAUGUCAUUUUUCUGGGUGUUUUUAAGCUACUAUUACAGGUGGCUCUGCUUACUUAUAAACCAUAUUAAAAACGGAGUGGUGAUGACUAGCCAGAUUGAAAUUAGGAAGAAUCUGCAAUAUUUAUACGAGUCCUUUGUAAUUAUAUUUAUUUCAGUGUUUCUGUGUAUGAUUCAAGGUUCCUAAGAGAACCUGGUCUGGACAGAAUGCUUGUAAGUAAAUAACAUUAACUGGAUCUAUCACGUUCUCAUCUCCAUAUUCUUGCUUUCUAAAGUUCUCUCACAAUCGCUGCAUCUCCCAUCUACCUUGUCUUCUUUCUGAUUGUUCAGAGGAUAUCAUGGAUUAACUAGAGUAGACUCUCCUGAUCUAUUACCUCUCAAAUACCCUUCAACUGAUGCUGACAAAAGUAAAUAUUUGAACUUUCUGGAAGUGAUUGGUACUGGCUCCUCAAAUGGUUAUUUUGUUAUUUGGCUUUUUCAUGAGAGGGGCAUAAAAAAAUGAUUACUGUCAGCCUGAAGAAUGCUAAAUAACUUUAUAUCCUUCUCCUUAGGUGAAACCUGCUCUUUCCCAUUCUGCCCUCAUGCCAAAUUAUGACUUUGUCUUGCUGAUCUGUCAUAGAUUUUUUCAGAUUUACCAUCUCUCAAGAUGAAGGUGCCUUUUCUUACUCAGAAUAGCUCCCAAAAAUGAGAAUAAAAAAUCUGUCUGAAUAGGUCUUAUGGAAAUGCAAUACUACGAACAUUUAACAUUUGUACAAGUGAGCAUACAUAAGCAACUGUUCAAUGUGUGUUUCUUGUCCCCUCUCUGUGCUGGGCCUACAAAGGAUAGGCAUGUGCUACCCGUGUCAGGUAAAGGAUUAGCUCUUUAGCUCAAGCCAUAGAAGCAGCUCUCGAGGUCCGAGGUACAAUCCCUGUUGACAACCCAGUUGGCAGUUGUUGCACAUACACAUGUGACAUUAUUAAUUCUCAUUCUUAGUUUUUAAAAAUGCAUGAGUGACUUUUCAGAACAAAUAUAGUGAAAGGGCUCAGAAAUUCUGAGAGCUAAUUCUAUACAUGAUGAAACAACUAGAGUAAUAAAUAAUAAAGGAGAUGGAGUUAGAAAAGACAAAGGUUACACUAAUGAGAUCAUGCAUUUGCUCGGGUAUGGAAUGUGUAUCUUUUGGCGGAUGCAUCAUUUUUAUUGGUUAAUUAAUUCACUCUUUGUAGGCUUUGAGGAGGAAAUGGAAUAAAGAUAAGGUGAUGGCUUGUUGUGCAAGUUUGGGAGGGUAUUCCAUGCAUUGAGGGCAGCAUAGAAGAGAGAUGGAGACAGAGAGGGAGAUAUAAAACAUCUAUUUGGUAAACUAUUGUAUAAUUUCUUUAAUUAUUUUC
Molecule: long non-coding RNA, 2992 nt
Organism: Trachemys scripta elegans
Lineage: Eukaryota; Metazoa; Chordata; Testudines; Emydidae
Exons: 4
Source: RefSeq, a predicted model, not a curated record